RNAcentral lists this ribosomal RNA (508 nucleotides) under uncultured bacterium. Its description in RNAcentral is "partial 16S ribosomal RNA". It matches the Rfam family "Bacterial small subunit ribosomal RNA", at positions 28 to 523 of the family's 1533-position model. The record is from RNAcentral.
GAUGAACGCUAGCUACAGGCUUAACACAUGCAAGUCGAGGGGAAACGAUAUUGGAAGCUUGCUUCCGAUAGGCGUCGACCGGCGCACGGGUGAGUAACGCGUAUCCAACCUGCCCACCACUUGGGGAUAACCUUGCGAAAGUAAGACUAAUACCCAAUGAUAUCCAUAGAAGACAUCUGAAAUGGAUUAAAGAUUUAUCGGUGAUGGAUGGGGAUGCGUCUGAUUAGCUUGUUGGAGGGGUAACGGCCCACCAAGGCGACGAUCAGUAGGGGUUCUGAGAGGACGGUCCCCCACAUUGGAACUGAGACACGGUCCAAACUCCUACGGGAGGCAGCAGUGAGGAAUAUUGGUCAAUGGGCGAGAGCCUGAACCAGCCAAGUAGCGUGCAGGAUGACGGCCCUAUGGGUUGUAAACUGCUUUUAUAAGGGAAUAAAGUGGGAGUCGUGACUCCUUUUGCAUGUACCUUAUGAAUAAGGACCGGCUAAUUCCGUGCCAGCCGCCGCGGUAA